AUAUAGCAUCAAGAACGCUAUUGCGUACCAACCGACAGCUCGUUGCACGGUGGUUUAGAAUGCGGGGUUCCUCCCAAACUAACGAGAAAUCCUAAAUUCUCUUGUUGCGGUUUAAUUUAAAUUGUAAUAAAAAUGAAAAAAAG
RNAcentral lists this non-coding RNA (143 nucleotides) under unclassified sequences. Its description in RNAcentral is "SAM-I-IV sequence". The stretch from base 1 to 91 matches the Rfam family "SAM-I/IV (S-adenosyl methionine) riboswitch aptamer". From Rfam's summary of the family: It is found upstream of a number of genes which code for proteins involved in methionine or cysteine biosynthesis. It has been found mostly in the order Actinomycetales. The record is from Rfam by way of RNAcentral.